Small nuclear RNA from Gorilla gorilla gorilla (western lowland gorilla), 107 nucleotides. NCBI's taxonomy places the organism in Eukaryota, Metazoa, Chordata, Mammalia, Primates, Hominidae. The record is from Rfam.
GUGCACGCUUCGGUAGCACAUAUACUAAAAUUGGAAAGAUACAGAGAAGAUUAGCAUGGCCCCUGCACAAAGAUGACAUGCAAAUUUGUGUUCCGUUCCAUAUUCGC